UACGGAGGGGGCUAGCGUUGUUCGGAAUUACUGGGCGUAAAGCGCACGUAGGCGGCUUUGUAAGUUAGAGGUGAAAGCCCGGGGCUCAACCCCGGAACUGCCCUUGAAACUGCAGUGCUAGAAUCUUGGAGAGGCGAGUGGAAUUCCGAGUGUAGAGGUGAAAUUCGUAGAUAUUCGGAAGAACACCAGUGGCGAAGGCGACUCGCUGGACAAGUAUUGACGCUGAGGUGCGAAAGCGUGGGGAGCAAACAGG
RNAcentral lists this ribosomal RNA (253 nucleotides) under uncultured bacterium. RNAcentral's name for it is "partial 16S ribosomal RNA". It matches the Rfam family "Bacterial small subunit ribosomal RNA", at positions 524 to 776 of the family's 1533-position model. The record is from RNAcentral.